AAAUAAUAAAAAAUGUUCACCCUUUUGUAUAAAGAUUACAAGCACAAAGACGUAAAUACAUAAAUCAAAUGCAUAUUAUAGAUGUCAUACAAAUAAAGUUAAAUCACAACAUCCUUAUUAAAUUUAACCAUUCUUGACAAUUUACCAGCAUCCAAGCCGGUGUUUACCAGGGCAAGGUCAAGGUUUAAAAUAUGAAUUUGAGCAAGAGCUUUGUUACAACUCCUAGCACCAUCACAAGCAACCGCGACUUCCUGCUCAAAACAGA
RNAcentral lists this long non-coding RNA (265 nucleotides) under Lathyrus oleraceus (garden pea). RNAcentral describes it as "Pisum sativum (pea) long non-coding RNA (PSAT_LNC013534)". The record is from RNAcentral. Lineage: Eukaryota; Viridiplantae; Streptophyta; Magnoliopsida; Fabales; Fabaceae.